RNAcentral lists this ribosomal RNA (253 nucleotides) under uncultured bacterium. RNAcentral's name for it is "partial 16S ribosomal RNA". It matches the Rfam family "Bacterial small subunit ribosomal RNA", at positions 524 to 776 of the family's 1533-position model. The record is from RNAcentral.
UACGUAGGGGGCAAGCGUUGUCCGGAAUUAUUGGGCGUAAAGGGUUCGUAGGUGGCCAACUAAGUCAGACGUGAAAUCCCUCAGCUCAACUGGGGAACUGCGUCUGAUACUGGAUGGCUUGAGAUUGGGAGAGGGAUGCGGAAUUCCAGGUGUAGCGGUGAAAUGCGUAGAUAUCUGGAGGAACACCGGUGGCGAAGGCGGCAUCCUGGACCAACACUGACGCUGAGGAGCGAAAGCCAGGGGAGCAAACGGG